This 468-nucleotide ribosomal RNA is filed under the name uncultured bacterium. Its description in RNAcentral is "partial 16S ribosomal RNA". It matches the Rfam family "Bacterial small subunit ribosomal RNA", at positions 28 to 507 of the family's 1533-position model. The record is from RNAcentral.
GACGAACGCUGGCGGCGUGCUUAACACAUGCAAGUCGAACGGAAAGGCCCUGCUUUUGUGGGGUGCUCGAGUGGCGAACGGGUGAGUAACACGUGAGUAACCUGCCCUUGACUUUGGGAUAACUUCAGGAAACUGGGGCUAAUACCGGAUAGGAGCUCCUGCUGCAUGGUGGGGGUUGGAAAGUUUCGGCGGUUGGGGAUGGACUCGCGGCUUAUCAGCUUGUUGGUGGGGUAGGGGCUUACCAAGGCUUUGACGGGUAGCCGGCCUGGGAGGGUGACCGGCCACAUUGGGCCUGCGAUACGGCCCAGACUCCUACGGGGGGCAGCAGUGGGGAAUAUUGCACAAUGGGCGGAAGCCUGAUGCAGCAACGCCGCGUGCGGGAUGACGGCCUUCGGGUUGUAAACCGCUUUCGCCUGUGACGAAGCGUGAGUGACGGUAAUGGGUAAAGAAGCACCGGCUAACUACGUG